Molecule: ribosomal RNA, 253 nt
Filed under: uncultured bacterium
Lineage: Bacteria
Description: partial 16S ribosomal RNA
Rfam family: Bacterial small subunit ribosomal RNA
Source: RNAcentral
UACUUAGGGUGCAAGCGUUAAUCGGAAUUACUGGGCGUAAAGCGUGCGCAGGCGGUUGUGCAAGACCGAUGUGAAAUCCCCGGGCUUAACCUGGGAAUGGCAUUGGUGACUGCACGGCUAGAGUGUGUCAGAGGGGGGUAGAAUUCCACGUGUAGCAGUGAAAUGCGUAGAGAUGUGGAGGAACACCGAUGGCGAAGGCAGCGCCCUGGGACCUGACUGACGCUCAUGUACGAAAGCGUGGGGAGCAAACAGG